RNAcentral lists this ribosomal RNA (484 nucleotides) under uncultured bacterium. Its description in RNAcentral is "partial 16S ribosomal RNA". It matches the Rfam family "Bacterial small subunit ribosomal RNA", at positions 30 to 507 of the family's 1533-position model. The record is from RNAcentral.
AUUGAACGCUGGCGGCAGGCCUAACACAUGCAAGUCGAGCGGAUGAAGGGAGCUUGCUCCUGGAUUCAGCGGCGGACGGGUGAGUAAUGCCUAGGAAUCUGCCUGGUAGUGGGGGAUAACGUCGGGAAACGGGCGCUAAUACCGCAUACGUCCUGAGGGAGAAAGUGGGGGAUCUUCGGACCUCGCGCUAUCAGAUGAGCCUAGGUCGGAUUAGCUAGUUGGUGGGGUAAAGGCCUACCAAGGCGACGAUCCGUAACUGGUCUGAGAGGAUGAUCAGUCACACUGGAACUGAGACACGGUCCAGACUCCUACGGGAGGCAGCAGUGGGGAAUAUUGGACAAUGGGCGAAAGCCUGAUCCAGCCAUGCCGCGUGUGUGAAGAAGGUCUUCGGAUUGUAAAGCACUUUAAGUUGGGAGGAAGGGCAGUAAGUUAAUACCUUGCUGUUUUGACGUUACCAACAGAAUAAGCACCGGCUAACUUCGUG